Molecule: transfer RNA, 71 nt
Filed under: Dasyatis pastinaca (common stingray)
Lineage: Eukaryota; Metazoa; Chordata; Chondrichthyes; Myliobatiformes; Dasyatidae
Description: tRNA-Asp
Rfam family: tRNA
About the family: Transfer RNA (tRNA) molecules are approximately 80 nucleotides in length. Their secondary structure includes four short double-helical elements and three loops (D, anti-codon, and T loops).
Source: RNAcentral
GAGAUUCUAGUAAAAUAACAUUACAUUACCUUGUCAGGGCAAAAUUGUGGGUUUAAAUCCCACGAAUCUUA